GUCCAUUUUCUUGACUUCCUUAUCCUUUAGUUUCUUCUCUUGGUCUCUUAGUUUUGCAGCUACUUUUUUUCUUAUGUCAUUUAUGUCAUGUCUAGUGCAUGUUUCCGAUUUUUUAUGGCACUGUGGAUCAGGUUUUUAGAGGUGUCAUUAUCAAGGGCAUCUAGGUAUGCAAUAGUAUCAUUUUGAGCCCAAAGAAUGAUGCCUUCUAUUGUAAUAGUGUUUGCAUUAGGCAUUUCCCUCUGCUUACGAUCUAAAUGCGAAAACAGCCAUUCCGGUGCGAGAUUGUGUUUUGGACAGGCAUUCAUCUCUUUACGAAUUUGAUCAGAUGCCUCAUGAAAUUUCCCCCCUGGUAGAUGAUCCACAAGUUGUCUUUGCAUGCAAAGACAAAGGCUAUGAGCAAUAAUAAUACCAUUGAACCUUAAUACUACAUUACAUUGAACAUGUUCGUUUGUUAUGAUGGCCUGGUAGUUUGCAUUUCGAACAAACUGUCUGAAGUUUGGGCGGAUGUUUACAAGUACCUUCUAAAAUACGUAGACGAUUUUGCUUGUGCAUUAUCUGUGCAAGAGCUUUACUUCCAAUCGAUCGGAAGUACCACUUGGUUACUAAUUCAUUAAGUUUUUCUAGUCCCUGUUGGCAAAAAUUAAAGAUAUUGCCAUGCAAUCUAAUUGCUUCUGGAAUGUGAUAUGCCAGAAUGUGCAUAUACUGUAAGGCGUCACAUCUUUUGUUAAAUAUAAAUGACUCCCAUACAAAUUUACCCAUUCUUUUGCGGCUUUUUCAAAAUUAUUGAUGUCGGUUUCUGUCAUACGCCUAUUAAGUUGAUUCAUCAGUGAUUGGAAAUUUUUCCAAGAUAAAACAAUUGCUUCUAGUUUAGGAUGUUCGGGUAUAAUUUCUUCUAAAUUUAUUUUUGACAUAAUUAAACGGUGUUCAGGGCCUGUAAAUGAUUCAUAUUUUAAUUUUCCAUCUUUCACAAAAAAGUACCAUUCUGAAAUACCAAUAUUGGCAAUAAAUAAGUGUUGACAUUUUGAUAAAUUUUCAGGUGAAAGCCGAACAUGAUUAUCUAAAUCUUGUAGGUACUUUAUUAAAUGGUAGACCAUUUGAUCAGAAAUUCGAAGAAACAAAUGUAGCGUGUCUGGCACCACAUUUACCAGCUGAAUUGAACUAAAAAGAGGCUUUGAUACACAAUUGUAAUUGUUUUUUUUCUUACCAGCCAAUGAACAAAUUUCCUCAAGAGUUCUUGCACCUUUAGAUACAUCACACAUAGACCAUUCUUUUUCCAUGUCAAAUCUCAAGUCUUUUGGGCAUUUGCACCAUAAACAGGAGUAAGAUCUAGCAAAUCCCCCUAUUCCCAUUAUUUGGUUCAGAAAUUUAAGGUCACCGCCACGGAAUUUCUCAAUUCGAAUUGUCUUUUCAUUGAUAAUAAUUGAUGUAAGAUUAUCAUAUUCUUCAAACAGUUUGCUCAAUGUAGCUUUUAAGCAUUAUUAUUUUCUGGGCACUAGACAAUAGCCAAAAGAUAAUUGCCCUGUUCAGACUUGCAAGUUUUUUUCCCUAUUAUUGUAAAUUAAAGUUUACAAAAUGUGAUUUUCUUCCCUGCACGGGUUCCAUCCCCACUCAAUUUUACUUUAGCAACUCCAUCUUUCAAUAAAUGGUCCUUAUGCGGGUCACUCAAAACAGAGUGAAGAGUUUGUUGUAUAGAGCGAAAAACACCAAUGUAUCUAUUAUCACCAACUGUUUUGUCAAUUUCUGUUAAGGGGCAUGUUUCUUUCAUUUUUUGUUUUCUUUUAAACAGUAAAUUUACUCUGGGCAAUGUAGAAUAACGUUGAGCUAUUUCAUGAUAACCUUUAAUUGGUAUAUUAAAAGAAUCAAGGACAAAAAUCAUUUCUUCAAUUUCUUUUUCCAAAGCACUGUUGUUGGCUUCAUUUUCAUCAGAAAUAGAUAUAUCUAAUAACUUGCCUUUCAUAUCCCUCAUUUUCAAAUGAAGCAGUAUAAACCCAGCAUCCAUUGCCAUAUCCUUGAAAUUGUUUUGAAUUGUGUUAAUGUUUUUAGCACGAUUUCUAUACACUUGUGACUUUUGAUAGGUUAUUUUUUUCUUAGCUUUCCCUCUCUUACAUUUCUGGAUAUUUCUAUCUCGUUUGAAUAAUUAAAUUAUUUUACAAGAUGUCAAUGACUUGUUACUGUACAGUAAGUUCUUGUGCUGUUCAUACCUACCAAUGAAUACCAUUCUCAUCAUCAUCAAUCAAAUAUUUAUAUUGUACCCUGAAGUUUGGUGAACAAAUAAAUCUUAGGUUCUGUAAUAGAGCAUCUAAAAUUAAAAAUUAAUAGCUAGUUAUUGUUUUUAUUUUUUGGACUAGGUAAAUUUAUUUAUUGGUCAAACAAAGUAAAAUUUGAUAAUCGGUAUCAAAAUUGUUGAAAUUGUAUUGAAGUGGUUAAAGGAUUCUUUUCAUGACAUUUCUUUGCUAGAGGAUCAAUGGCAUAUGAGAUAAGAAAAAAUUGAGAAACUUGAGCAUCAAUGUAACACUUGUCUUGCAAUUGUGCAUCUGCAGCAAUACAUUAAUCAUGACCUGCGACCCGUGGACAACCAGUGGGGUAAACUCGUCACAAUUGUCUAUGACACAUGGAUCAGCUUAUGGACAAAUCAAAUACUGAGACCACAAACUUUUGAAUUGCAAGAACUUUGCGGUAUACUGCUAUGAAUGCUUGGACACAAACAGAUUGGACCUUCAGGUCCCCGCAGAGAUUCUACCAGUCUUCUCCCUCAAAAGAGUUGGUGCAGAUUAAACAAGCUGAUUACUUGUCAUGCUAAGAACAUGAAACAAACCAACACCUGCCUAUGAUAUGGGGCUAGUAAGCAAACUUGAUGGUGGAAUCGACUAUGACCCUACAGCAAUCAGUGAUUAUUAGACCUAGAUAUUAUGAUGUGUAUGAUUCACUGUACAAUGCAUAGUGAGGGUAACAGGUUGGUUGUCCCACAAGAACUUCAUUGAACAACUCAUUGCAAUCACUGAAUUUACAUCCGCUGACCUAUCAAAUCAAUGCAGGAUCGUAUACAGGUGACACAAAGGAGGAAAACAUUACUGAGCAAUCUUUACAAGGCAUCUGAUCUCUAUAUUGGAGUUCAACUUGUUUCAUCUGAUCUGUGACAGGUCCUGCAAAUGUGACAUGAUUGUUGGCAUCUGUCGAUCAAUUUUGAUACCCAACACAAAGAGUGGGUAGCUCUGAACUUUCUUCAAAAGCCAUAUUUUGUUUAAAGUGAAAAUCUUUGGCAACGAGUGACUGUAUGCUGGAAUGAACAGAAUUUAUGAUUGAACCAGAAAACUGCAAUAAUAAAUGUAUUAUCCACAAUUGAUGAUUGAUUCGAAGUAUGAAAUUUUAUAAAGAAAUUGGACAUCAAGAUCAUUUCAUUAGAGACUGUGGAUGACAUGGCUGAAUUUCUUAUCUCAUUAUGACCAUUGGGAUCCUUAGACCUUAAAUAAUAAAAAGAAAGACAGAAAACACCAUAUCUUGAUGAACUUUUUACUGCAUACUGAAAUGUUCCAUAAUGUGACCAGGAAAAUUGUACAUAUAUAUAUAAAGUAUUUAUUUUCCAUUGGAUUGAAAACAUCAAUUUUGGCCGUCAUCAAAUGUCAGCUACAAAAUAGCAAAGGAAUGGAUACAAAGUUGAAAGGAAAAGAGAGGAUACAAUGAGGUGGUCAAUCAUGGCAUAAGACUGCUCUAUAACAGUAGACAAAGUAACUCCUGGAAAAAUGUGUCGGCUUAAUAAAAACUUAAUUUGUGUACAGUAUUGAGACAUCCACUUUGGUAUCGCACUACUUUUGGUAUUACACUACUUUUGGUAUUAGGUGUUCUUGUCCAUCAACAACUUCAAGGCGGAGGUUGCCCACCUGACUGGUUUGUCCAAGACGAGACUGAAGUCCUAAUACAAUAAUUUAUAUGAUAAGUCAAUCGUGACGUCAUCACUGCAACUCCAAUGUCUAUCCCCCGCAGUCCACUAAUUUUUCAAUUAGUGGAUGCUUGGUUAGAUUUUUUUUAGGUUUGUGUACAAAAGAAAAGUCUUAUUAUUUCGUCACCGCGAAGACAUCGUGCACUUUGAUGAAAAUUGAAUUGUAAUUGAUAAUCACUUUCAUAAAAUAAGUUUAAUUCAAUAUUAAAUAUGAACAAUUAAGGAAUUCAUUGAAUCAAUGGACCCUCAUGAACAAAACAAAAACUGAAGAUUUAACCUGAUUUUCUCACCUUGCAUUUUCAUAUUUAUUAUUUAAAUUUUUUAUUUUCUUAAGUUUCUUUUAAUGUUCCUUUUAAAUAUUUUUUAAUUUGUAGUUAAGUUAUCAUUAUUUUUGGUUACAAUGUGUAUAUAUCUGCUUUUAACAUUUUGUAGUUAAGAACUGAACCACUUUGGAAAGUAAUACUAUGUAUUGAAAGUGUAUAUUCAGUAUAAAGAAAGAAUAAAUAAAUAAAAUAGCAUUACAAACAAGUUCUUUCUAACACAAUGCAAAUUACAAGAGUUAUUCAUCGUAUACGUACUGUACUGCUGAUGUGUAGUUAACGCGUACUGCAGGAGCACAAAUCAGCAUACACACAGCUGAAUGUAAAUAGGCACACAGUAUACUGAUCCUAUCACUAUAGCAACCGAUGACUGCUUUGUUUGUUAUCAAAAACUAAAAUUUAAAGACGGCGAUUGAUUUAUAAAGCAAUUAGUAGAGCAUGCAUCGUACA
Molecule: long non-coding RNA, 4707 nt
Filed under: Anneissia japonica
Lineage: Eukaryota; Metazoa; Echinodermata; Crinoidea; Comatulida; Comatulidae
Description: uncharacterized LOC117110694
Source: RNAcentral